RNAcentral lists this ribosomal RNA (264 nucleotides) under uncultured Pseudomonas sp. RNAcentral's name for it is "partial 16S ribosomal RNA". It matches the Rfam family "Bacterial small subunit ribosomal RNA", at positions 1120 to 1382 of the family's 1533-position model. Lineage: Bacteria; Pseudomonadati; Pseudomonadota; Gammaproteobacteria; Pseudomonadales; Pseudomonadaceae. The record is from RNAcentral.
AGCACGUUAUGGUGGCGACUCUAAGGAGACUGCCGGUGACAAACCGGAGGAAGGUGGGGGAUGACGUCAAGUCAUCAUGGCCCUUACGGCCUGGGCUACACACGUGCUACAAUGGUCGGUACAAAGGGUUGCCAAGCCGCGAGGUGGAGCUAAUCCCAUAAAACCGAUCGUAGUCCGGAUCGCAGUCUGCAACUCGACUGCGUGAAGUCGGAAUCGCUAGUAAUCGUGAAUCAGAAUGUCACGGUGAAUACGUUCCCGGGCCUU